AAUAAGAAAUCAAACCCAAUCAAGAUAUCAACCUUACCUCAAACCCUCUGCCGAUUUCUGAUUUAAACCUCAAUCUCAGUUGUACGUUUUCAAAAAUGGUGAGGACCGAGUUGUCUGCGAAGGCAAAGAAUAAAGUAAGUGCAUGCUUAAUGAAGUAGGAACUGUAAAUAAGCAAGAUGAAAAAUUAGAGUCUCUUCAUUUGCAGAGAGACACUUAAAUGGCGAACAGUGGAAUGAUGGACUAUUAUCUACAGUUAGGAAGCGGGUUCACAUGGAGUUAGAAAGAAAAGCAAUGCAGGGGGAUGCUAGCAUGGCAUUGAAUUCUCACUUCCAUGGGAAAAUUACUUAUAGAGCAGGAAAUAAGUGUUUACGUUGGGAUGAGCUAGAAGGGGAUUAUCACAAAGUCUUGGCGAGGUGAUCCCUUGCACUAUUCUCUGCCAGGAACAGGGCAAAUUAGUUCUCAAUAGGAAUCUGCAACAAAUGUCCAGAAUAUAGUUUUCCAAGGGAGGAACAAUUCCCAAAUCCUUAACAUAACGGAAGGAUUUAAGUAAUAGGAGCAGUGCAUAAGCCGAAAUGACUCAAAUCAGUUGGAAAUUGUCCGUUAAUUUAGUCUCCAUUUAGUGUUGCCUUCAUCAUCCUCAAAGAUAUCAACCUUCACAUCACUCAGCACUGGUGGUGGGAGUGUAAACAAUGGUGGAAGCUUCUUUCCAUUACUUUGGAUGGGUGGUAAUAUCAAUGAACAAAGUACCAUGCUUAGUUCAGCUUGGGAUUAACCCACUGGAUUAGGGUCUUCGCGUGAGGGUUUUGGACUGCAUAUCAAGAAGGCCCUUAGAGGUGUGAAGGUUGAAGUAACUCAUGGAGGAAGUAUGAGCAGACUUAUGGGUUUUCUAUUCAAUGAACACAUUUUCCCUGUUUGCAAGUUAGAAAUCAACAAAGGCCAAAUCAUAUUUCCAUGGAGGUUUGUAAAAUUGUGGAGGGUCAGAGGUACUCGAAAAGACUCGAUGAACGUCAAAUAACUGCUCUUUUGAAGGUUACAUGUGGGCGGCCACGGGAAAGGGUGAAAGAUAUUAUGCAGAAUGUUCGCCACAAUGCUUAUUACGAGGACCCAUUCGCUAAGAAAUCUGGAAUAAAAACCAGUGAUAAGCUUGCUCAAGUUGGGGCUCGCAUUCUUCCUUCCCCAUGGAUUGGUUGUUUACACUGCUUACAACAGAUGACUUUAUGAUCAGUGGGGGAUAAUGUAUGUCAACGU
This is a long non-coding RNA of Papaver somniferum (opium poppy), 1248 nucleotides long. RefSeq lists it as uncharacterized. Lineage: Eukaryota; Viridiplantae; Streptophyta; Magnoliopsida; Ranunculales; Papaveraceae. The transcript is spliced from 9 exons. The record is from RefSeq and is a predicted model, not a curated record.